Molecule: long non-coding RNA, 470 nt
Filed under: Bos taurus (domestic cattle)
Lineage: Eukaryota; Metazoa; Chordata; Mammalia; Artiodactyla; Bovidae
Description: long non-coding RNA NONBTAT016414
Source: RNAcentral
GAAGAGUGUUUCUAAUGAAUGGACGUGUCCAAACUGUCAGGUGCAGAGAGCAACAGAUAGCACCUGUCAUCUGAGCUCACAGGAUGGAUGGUCAGAAAUAUCCUUCAGUUAUAGACAAAAGGCGUGCAGUUCCUUCGGGUUAUAAAGGCUCCACUGAAACCAGGAUUGCUUCUAAUAUGAUUCAUCACUGCCUAGAAAUUAAUUUCAUAAAGUCUGCUUGAUGACCAACAUCAUACCUCUGAAAUGUGGUGCUUUAUGACAAACGUAUUCUUCUGAAUCAUUUCUUAUAUUUUAGGAAUAUUUAAAUACAUUUGGAAAGUAAAGCAAAAAAUACUUUAUAGGUCUCUAAUUUUCUCCAAACUAUAUACUAUAAAGUAGCUUUAAUUAGUAAACAUGAAUUGAUGUGCUUGAAUUUGAGCAAAAUUUCAUAGGACACUGUACACUAAAAUGUGGUAAACUAAAUUCAGGAC